RNAcentral lists this ribosomal RNA (2927 nucleotides) under Escherichia coli. RNAcentral's name for it is "23S ribosomal RNA". It matches the Rfam family "Bacterial large subunit ribosomal RNA". Lineage: Bacteria; Pseudomonadati; Pseudomonadota; Gammaproteobacteria; Enterobacterales; Enterobacteriaceae. The record is from RNAcentral.
GGGUUGUGAGGUUAAGCGACUAAGCGUACACGGUGGAUGCCCUGGCAGUCAGAGGCGAUGAAGGACGUGCUAAUCUGCGAUAAGCGUCGGUAAGGUGAUAUGAACCGUUAUAACCGGCGAUUUCCGAAUGGGGAAACCCAGUGUGUUUCGACACACUAUCAUUAACUGAAUCCAUAGGUUAAUGAGGCGAACCGGGGGAACUGAAACAUCUAAGUACCCCGAGGAAAAGAAAUCAACCGAGAUUCCCCCAGUAGCGGCGAGCGAACGGGGAGCAGCCCAGAGCCUGAAUCAGUGUGUGUGUUAGUGGAAGCGUCUGGAAAGGCGCGCGAUACAGGGUGACAGCCCCGUACACAAAAAUGCACAUGCUGUGAGCUCGAUGAGUAGGGCGGGACACGUGGUAUCCUGUCUGAAUAUGGGGGGACCAUCCUCCAAGGCUAAAUACUCCUGACUGACCGAUAGUGAACCAGUACCGUGAGGGAAAGGCGAAAAGAACCCCGGCGAGGGGAGUGAAAAAGAACCUGAAACCGUGUACGUACAAGCAGUGGGAGCACGCUUAGGCGUGUGACUGCGUACCUUUUGUAUAAUGGGUCAGCGACUUAUAUUCUGUAGCAAGGUUAACCGAAUAGGGGAGCCGAAGGGAAACCGAGUCUUAACUGGGCGUUAAGUUGCAGGGUAUAGACCCGAAACCCGGUGAUCUAGCCAUGGGCAGGUUGAAGGUUGGGUAACACUAACUGGAGGACCGAACCGACUAAUGUUGAAAAAUUAGCGGAUGACUUGUGGCUGGGGGUGAAAGGCCAAUCAAACCGGGAGAUAGCUGGUUCUCCCCGAAAGCUAUUUAGGUAGCGCCUCGUGAAUUCAUCUCCGGGGGUAGAGCACUGUUUCGGCAAGGGGGUCAUCCCGACUUACCAACCCGAUGCAAACUGCGAAUACCGGAGAAUGUUAUCACGGGAGACACACGGCGGGUGCUAACGUCCGUCGUGAAGAGGGAAACAACCCAGACCGCCAGCUAAGGUCCCAAAGUCAUGGUUAAGUGGGAAACGAUGUGGGAAGGCCCAGACAGCCAGGAUGUUGGCUUAGAAGCAGCCAUCAUUUAAAGAAAGCGUAAUAGCUCACUGGUCGAGUCGGCCUGCGCGGAAGAUGUAACGGGGCUAAACCAUGCACCGAAGCUGCGGCAGCGACGCUUAUGCGUUGUUGGGUAGGGGAGCGUUCUGUAAGCCUGUGAAGGUGUGCUGUGAGGCAUGCUGGAGGUAUCAGAAGUGCGAAUGCUGACAUAAGUAACGAUAAAGCGGGUGAAAAGCCCGCUCGCCGGAAGACCAAGGGUUCCUGUCCAACGUUAAUCGGGGCAGGGUGAGUCGACCCCUAAGGCGAGGCCGAAAGGCGUAGUCGAUGGGAAACAGGUUAAUAUUCCUGUACUUGGUGUUACUGCGAAGGGGGGACGGAGAAGGCUAUGUUGGCCGGGCGACGGUUGUCCCGGUUUAAGCGUGUAGGCUGGUUUUCCAGGCAAAUCCGGAAAAUCAAGGCUGAGGCGUGAUGACGAGGCACUACGGUGCUGAAGCAACAAAUGCCCUGCUUCCAGGAAAAGCCUCUAAGCAUCAGGUAACAUCAAAUCGUACCCCAAACCGACACAGGUGGUCAGGUAGAGAAUACCAAGGCGCUUGAGAGAACUCGGGUGAAGGAACUAGGCAAAAUGGUGCCGUAACUUCGGGAGAAGGCACGCUGAUAUGUAGGUGAAGCGACUUGCUCGUGGAGCUGAAAUCAGUCGAAGAUACCAGCUGGCUGCAACUGUUUAUUAAAAACACAGCACUGUGCAAACACGAAAGUGGACGUAUACGGUGUGACGCCUGCCCGGUGCCGGAAGGUUAAUUGAUGGGGUUAGCCGCAAGGCGAAGCUCUUGAUCGAAGCCCCGGUAAACGGCGGCCGUAACUAUAACGGUCCUAAGGUAGCGAAAUUCCUUGUCGGGUAAGUUCCGACCUGCACGAAUGGCGUAAUGAUGGCCAGGCUGUCUCCACCCGAGACUCAGUGAAAUUGAACUCGCUGUGAAGAUGCAGUGUACCCGCGGCAAGACGGAAAGACCCCGUGAACCUUUACUAUAGCUUGACACUGAACAUUGAGCCUUGAUGUGUAGGAUAGGUGGGAGGCUUAGAAGUGUGGACGCCAGUCUGCAUGGAGCCGACCUUGAAAUACCACCCUUUAAUGUUUGAUGUUCUAACGUUGACCCGUAAUCCGGGUUGCGGACAGUGUCUGGUGGGUAGUUUGACUGGGGCGGUCUCCUCCUAAAGAGUAACGGAGGAGCACGAAGGUUGGCUAAUCCUGGUCGGACAUCAGGAGGUUAGUGCAAUGGCAUAAGCCAGCUUGACUGCGAGCGUGACGGCGCGAGCAGGUGCGAAAGCAGGUCAUAGUGAUCCGGUGGUUCUGAAUGGAAGGGCCAUCGCUCAACGGAUAAAAGGUACUCCGGGGAUAACAGGCUGAUACCGCCCAAGAGUUCAUAUCGACGGCGGUGUUUGGCACCUCGAUGUCGGCUCAUCACAUCCUGGGGCUGAAGUAGGUCCCAAGGGUAUGGCUGUUCGCCAUUUAAAGUGGUACGCGAGCUGGGUUUAGAACGUCGUGAGACAGUUCGGUCCCUAUCUGCCGUGGGCGCUGGAGAACUGAGGGGGGCUGCUCCUAGUACGAGAGGACCGGAGUGGACGCAUCACUGGUGUUCGGGUUGUCAUGCCAAUGGCACUGCCCGGUAGCUAAAUGCGGAAGAGAUAAGUGCUGAAAGCAUCUAAGCACGAAACUUGCCCCGAGAUGAGUUCUCCCUGACCCUUUAAGGGUCCUGAAGGAACGUUGAAGACGACGACGUUGAUAGGCCGGGUGUGUAAGCGCAGCGAUGCGUUGAGCUAACCGGUACUAAUGAACCGUGAGGCUUAACCUUACAACGCCGAAG